AGUUACCGCGACCCUUGAAAGCCAGUUUGAUGUUAUGGACUGACGUAAAGCACCACCAUAUGGAAGUUAUUGACCGAAUGUUUUCCAUUCCUGACCUCGAGAGGUGAUCUUUUCUAUUUACUCGUUGAUGCACUCGUUCUUGAUUUUUGACCCGUGCGUCUGUUUGUGGCAGGACUUURUGUCGGGUGUUUGGAGUUGACCUCSUAGAGCCAAGGAGAGGAGCUCUGCUGGAGCUGUACGUGGAAACUGUGCUGUUUUGCAGAAAGCAAGGAUUCAAAAAAGAGCAAACCUCUGCACUUUUGUCAAUCAUCAAGUCCAUUCAUGAGGCCAACAUUGAAACGCCUCUGGACAACAAAGAUCAGUGUCUCAAGUAUUCCGAGGAGCUCCUGCUCUUACACUCAGUCAGGCGCCCACCAUUUAGUGCCAACCUGUUCAGCUUYAUGGAGGUGAACUGUAUAUUAAAAUACAUCAACGACCAUUACAUGAGGCACUAUAAACUCUACAAGUACAUCUUUACACCUGAGAUGUUAAAGCGGCGGAGCAAAAUGAGUCGGUGCAGGAAACCUCAGACGGUACACUCACAGAUCACCACAGGACCCAGUUCGGCUGCAGCACCCCUCAACUGGUUUCUCUCGUCUCCUCCUCACUUCCAGGCUUGGUGGAUUUAAAGGCGCUGAUAGAGCAGGAAGUCAACCAGGGGAUGAAGCGCGUGUCUGAACAGCUGGAGGAGCGCUUCAACAGCCCGGCCACGGAGACGAUAAAAAAAACAAACAGACCUCAAAAUGACACUUGAUGAAAUAAGAACAAAUUGAACCAUUUGUUUUAAUGUCAAUAAAAACAUUUUGUCCACA
This is a long non-coding RNA of Austrofundulus limnaeus, 851 nucleotides long. RefSeq lists it as uncharacterized. Lineage: Eukaryota; Metazoa; Chordata; Actinopteri; Cyprinodontiformes; Rivulidae. The transcript has 5 exons. The record is from RefSeq and is a predicted model, not a curated record.